This is a long non-coding RNA of Xenopus laevis (African clawed frog), 829 nucleotides long. RefSeq lists it as uncharacterized. The transcript has 3 exons. The record is from RefSeq and is a predicted model, not a curated record. Lineage: Eukaryota; Metazoa; Chordata; Amphibia; Anura; Pipidae.
AAAUAAAGCUCAUGCUUUGCGUCCCUGUUUACAAGAUAUAGAAAUAUGCAAUAGUCUUUGUCUAUUUACUGCUGUUUAUUUAUUGACAAAUAAGCCGUUCUUCAACAAACAGUCUGUGUUGUAUCAAGCACCCCUGCAAACUCAUCUCUCCAGCAUAAAAUGUAUAUUGUUUGUUAUUCAUUAGUGCAAAUCUGAAUGAAGGCAACAUAACCUUGCAGGCUGGUCUGAUAAUAAAAAAAAUGAAAAUACUAAAUAUAACAAACAAUAUAAAAUAUCCAAUAAUUCUGCAGUUGUACAGGUUAUGAACUUCUGGAACUCUGUUUCCCAGAAACAGGAAAGAAGUGGUUUCUCAGCAGAUGAAUAACAGAGGUCUAUGCACUCUAUGGUAAAUCUGAAGUCAUUGCUUUGAGCACACAGUGGGAACCAGGAGCUCUGCUAGUACAGAUGUCAAAGAGUCAUGCUAAUAUUCAAAAGCUGGACUUAGAAGGUAUGAAUACGAACAUGGAAAAAAUGUCUGCUGAUCUUAAAAAGCUAACAGAGAAAUCACAGUUGCUUCUCUGUGAUCUGAAUUUAGCAUGCAACUAUCAAGGAAAAGAGAAGUACCUAAGAAAGUUUGAGGAGAAAAAUAUUUUCAAGAAGGAAAAAAAAAUAGCAUGUGACCAAAGGAAGAUGAGGUGACCCACUGAAGGAGGCCUUCGAUGCAUCUAUAUACAGUUUUCUGUUUUUCUAAUGUAUAUUCUUCUGUUUUCUCUUACGCAGCUAAUACAGCUACUGCCUACCUAAUUAAUAUUGUAAUAUUAAAAAUCGGUCAAUUAAAAAUAUUGUAAAU